RNAcentral lists this ribosomal RNA (813 nucleotides) under uncultured bacterium. RNAcentral's name for it is "bacterial SSU rRNA". It matches the Rfam family "Bacterial small subunit ribosomal RNA", at positions 8 to 794 of the family's 1533-position model. The record is from RNAcentral.
AGAGUUUGAUCAUGGCUCAGAAUAAACGCUGGCGGCGUGCCUAACACAUGCAAGUCGAACGAGAAAGCCAUGACUUCGGUUGGGCGAGUAAAGUGGCGCACGGGUGAGUAACGCGUAGGCAACCUACCCUUGAAUUUGGGAUAACAGUGCGAAAGUGCUGCUAAUACCGGAUACGACCCUUUUGUGCUGGGCAAAAGGGUGAAAGUCGGCCACUGGAACAAGCCGACGUUCGGGGAUGGGCCUGCGUCCUAUCAGCUGGUUGGUAGGGUAACGGCCUACCAAGGCGACGACGGGUAGCUGGUCUGAGAGGAUGAUCAGCCACACUGGCACUGGAACACGGGCCAGACUCCUACGGGAGGCAGCAGUGAGGAAUUUUGCGCAAUGGCCGCAAGGCUGACGCAGCAACGCCGCGUGGGUGAAGAAGGCCUUCGGGUCGUAAAGCCCUGUCAGGUGGGAAGAACGACACGGGGAGGAAUAUGCUCUGUGAGUGACGGUACCACCAGAGGAAGCACCGGCUAACUCCGUGCCAGCAGCCGCGGUAAUACGGAGGGUGCGAGCGUUAUUCGGAAUUACUGGGCGUAAAGCGCGUGUAGGCGGCCAACCAAGUCUGAUGUGAAAGCCCUGGGCUUAACCUGGGAAGUGCAUUGGAAACUGGCUGGCUUGAGUACUGGAGAGGAAGGGGGAAUUCCCGGUGUAGAGGUGAAAUUCGUAGAGAUCGGGAGGAAUACCAGUGGCGAAGGCGCCCUUCUGGACGGUUACUGACGCUGAGACGCGAAAGCGUGGGGAGCAAACAGGAUUAGAUACCCUGGUAGU